UACGUAGGAGGCGAGCGUUGUCCGGAAUUACUGGGUGUAAAGCGCGUGUAGGCGGUGAGUUAAGUCUGUUGUGAAAGCGCCCGGCUCAACCGGGCAGAGUCAAUGGAAACUAGCGCACUGGAGGUCGGUAGAGGCGAGUGGAAUUCCCGGUGUAGUGGUGAAAUGCGUAGAUAUCUGGAGGAAUACCGGUGGCGAAGGCGGCAUCCUGGACCGACAUUGACGCUGAGGAGCGAAAGCUAGGGGAGCAAACGGG
This 253-nucleotide ribosomal RNA is filed under the name uncultured bacterium. RNAcentral's name for it is "partial 16S ribosomal RNA". It matches the Rfam family "Bacterial small subunit ribosomal RNA", at positions 524 to 776 of the family's 1533-position model. The record is from RNAcentral.